GGGAUUAGUGGCGAACGGGUGAGUAACACGUGGGCAAUCUGCCCUGCACUCUGGGACAAGCCCUGGAAACGGGGUCUAAUACCGGAUACUGACCUGCCAAGGCAUCUUGGCGGGUCGAAAGCUCCGGCGGUGCAGGAUGAGCCCGCGGCCUAUCAGCUUGUUGGUGAGGUAAUGGCUCACCAAGGCGACGACGGGUAGCCGGCCUGAGAGGGCGACCGGCCACACUGGGACUGAGACACGGCCCAGACUCCUACGGGAGGCAGCAGUGGGGAAUAUUGCACAAUGGGCGCAAGCCUGAUGCAGCGACGCCGCGUGAGGGAUGACGGCCUUCGGGUUGUAAACCUCUUUCAGCAGGGAAGAAGCGAAAGUGACGGUACCUGCAGAAGAAGCGCCGGCUAACUACGUGCCAGCAAAAGCCCGACCGGUAAUACGUAGGGCGCAAGCGUUGUCCGGAAUUAUUGGGCGUAAAGAGCUCGUAGGCGGCUUGUCGCGUCGGUUGUGAAAGCCCGGGGCUUAACCCCGGGUCUGCAGUCGAUACGGGCAGGCUAGAGUUCGGUAGGGGAGAUCGGAAUUCCUGGUGUAGCGGUGAAAUGCGCAGAUAUCAGAGGAACACCGGUGGCGAAGGCGGAUCUCUGGGCCGAUACUGACGCUGAGGAGCGAAAGCGUGGGGAGCGAACAGGAUAAGAUACCCUGGUAGUCCACGCCGUAAACGGUGGGCACUAGGUGUGGGCAACAUUCCACGUUGUCCGUGCCGCAGCUAACGCAUUAAGUGCCCCGCCUGGGGAGUACGGCCGCAAGGCUAAAACUCAAAGGAAUUGACGGGGGCCCGCACAAGCGGCGGAGCAUGUGGCUUAAUUCCACGCAACGCGAAGAACCUUACCAAGGCUGGACAUACACCGGAAAGCAUCAGAGAUGGUGCCCCCCUUGUGGUCGGUGUACAGGUGGCGCACGGCUGUCCGUCAGCUCGUGUCGUGAGAUGUUGGGUUAAGUCCCGCAACGAGCGCAACCCUUGUCCCGUGUUGCAGCAACUCUUCGGAGGUUGGGGACUCACGGGAGACCGCCGGGGUCAACUCGGAGGAAGGUGGGGACGACGUCAAGUCAUCAUGCCCCUUAUGUCUUGGGCUGCACACGUGCUACAAUGGCCGGUACAAUGAGCUGCGAUACCGCAAGGUGGAGCGAAUCUCAAAAAGCCGGUCUCGUUCGGAUUGGGGUCUGCAACUCGACCCCAUGAAGUCGGAGUCGCUAGUAAUCGCAGAUCAGCAUUGCUGCGGUGAAUACGUUCCCGGGCCUUGUACACACCGCCCGUCACGUCACGAAAGUCGGUAACACCCGAAGCCGGUGGCCCAACCCCUUGUGGGAGGGAGCUUCGAAGUGACGCACGCCAUUCCU
RNAcentral lists this ribosomal RNA (1389 nucleotides) under Streptomyces fradiae. RNAcentral describes it as "bacterial SSU rRNA". It matches the Rfam family "Bacterial small subunit ribosomal RNA". Lineage: Bacteria; Bacillati; Actinomycetota; Actinomycetes; Kitasatosporales; Streptomycetaceae. The record is from RNAcentral.